AUCAGUGCUUAGGAAAUACUUUAUAGCCUGCAAAGUUAUUUAUUUUGUUGUUCAGUGGUUUCAGUCAGGUCCGACUCUUUGUAACUAUUUGGAGUUUUCCUUCAUUUUAAAAAUAUUUAUUUAUUUAAAAGUAUUUUUCCAUGGUUCCAUGAUUCAUUUUCUCUCCCUCCCUCUCCCCUCACCCCCUCCCAGAGCUGACAAGCAAUUCCAUUGGGUUAUACAUGUGUCAUCAGUCAAUACCUAUUUCCAUAUUAUUCAUUUGUAAUAAAGAAAUCUUUUAAAACCAAAAGAUUUGGGGUUUUCUUGCCAAAGACACCAUAUGGCUUGCCAUUUUUUCUCCAGCUCAUUUUACAGAUGAAGAAACUAGGCAAACAGGAUUAAGUCAGUAGCUCACAGUCACAUAGCUACCUUCCUUGAUCACACAGUUCGCAGUUCACCCUCUUGUUUGGUAGUAUUCUCUCCAUCAGGAUCAUAUAUUAGAGAGGAAAGGGGCCUGACAAACCAGAGGAGUCCUACCUAUCAUAUUUUACAGGUCAACCACCUUGAUAUCCAAGAGGAGACCAGAAAAGAGAAAAAGCAGAGAGCUUGGAGCUGGAGUUGAUAAGCCCAUCUGGGACUUCUUCAUUCCAGGCCAGUUGUAGUGUAUUGAAGGAACUUUCAAGAACUGACCACUAAGCCAGUGCUGAAAGGCUAUAUCACCCAAAAAGAGGCCUCCAUCUUCUGAGUCUAUAAAAGAGAGCAGGAGAAGCUAUCCUGGCCAUCAAAAGCUCUGUCUAAUUCUUCUUGCCUUAGCAUUUUCCUUACUCCCAUCUCACACACACACACACACACACAC
Molecule: long non-coding RNA, 835 nt
Organism: Monodelphis domestica (gray short-tailed opossum)
Lineage: Eukaryota; Metazoa; Chordata; Mammalia; Didelphimorphia; Didelphidae
Source: RefSeq, a predicted model, not a curated record